GGACCUAGCGUAGUUCGGAAUUACUGGGCUUAAAGAGCACGUAGGUGGUUAAGAAAGUUGGUGGUGAAAUCCCAAGGCUUAACCUUGGAACUGCCACCAAAACUUUUUAACUAGAGUAUGAUUGAGGUAAGCGGAAUUUCUAGUGUAGAGGUGAAAUUCGUAGAUAUUAGAAAGAACACCAAUUGCGAAGGCAGCUUUCUGGAUCAUUACUGACACUGAGGUGCGAAAGCAUGGGUAGCGAAGAGGAUUAGAUACCCUCGUAGUCCAUGCCGUAAACGAUGUGUGCUAGACGUUGGGAAUUUAUUUUUCAGUGUCGCAGCAAAAGCGUUAAGCACACCGCCUGGGGAGUACGACCGCAAGGUUAAAACUCAAAUGAAUUGACGGGGACCCGCACAAGUAGUGGAGCAUGUGGUUUAAUUCGAAGAUACGCGCAGAACCUUACCAACACUUGACAUGUUCGUCGCGACUCUAAGAGAUUAGAGUUUUCGGUUCGGCCGAACGAAACACAGGUGCUGCAUGGCUGUCGUCAGCUCGUGUCGUGAGAUGUUGGGUUAAGUCCCGCAACGAGCGCAACCCUUACUUUUAGUUGCUACCAUUUAGUUGGGCACUCUAAAAGAACUGCCAGUGAUAAGCUGGAGGAAGGUGGGGAUGACGUCAAGUCCUCAUGGCCCUUAUGUGUUGGGCUACACACGUGCUACAAUGGUAUUUACAGAGGGAAGCUAAGAGGCAACUCCAAGCUAAUCCCAAAAAGAUACCUCAGUUCGGAUUGUACUCUGCAACUCGAGUACAUGAAGCUGGAAUUACUAGUAAUCGCGGAUCAGCGCGCCGCGGUGAAUACGUUCCCGGGUCUUGCACACACUGCCCGUCAAGGGAGAAUUCGUUUA
Molecule: ribosomal RNA, 884 nt
Filed under: uncultured bacterium
Lineage: Bacteria
Description: bacterial SSU rRNA
Rfam family: Bacterial small subunit ribosomal RNA
Source: RNAcentral